UUUAAAAAGAGCGACAUAAUUUACGACUCAACCUCUAAUUGUCAGUGACAAUUUUUUCAAAACCAUUAAUCAACAUAAAUUUAAAAGAAUGUCUUUUCAUUCUUAUUUUCCAUUAUUAUGCAAAAAGGUUAAAGAGAAACAUAUUUAUUUAAAGAAACAACACAUCUCUUUGAUUGUAAAAAAGAUGAGUGACCCCUACCUAUAUAUGAUUCAGGUGAGCCUUGUAAGGAGGGCAAAAGUAAUUACUUUAUUAAGUUACAGUGUUUAUAACAUAAUGGCAUACCUUUACCUUUUAAUUUGUCCCCGGUUAGCAUAAUCAAAUCCUUAAAAAUCAACAUCAUAAAUGACUUUAGUGAUACUAACUUUGAAAUAUUGCCAAAAGUAAAACAAAUAUGUUGUUGAGUGCUAAUCCAAGACAUAAUUAUAAUGCCUCACUAAACUGCAACACACUUUGAGAGACACAAACUAUUUGAG
Molecule: long non-coding RNA, 474 nt
Filed under: Lathyrus oleraceus (garden pea)
Lineage: Eukaryota; Viridiplantae; Streptophyta; Magnoliopsida; Fabales; Fabaceae
Description: Pisum sativum (pea) long non-coding RNA (PSAT_LNC018000)
Source: RNAcentral